CUUUACUCGGGGAUAGCCUUUCGAAAGAAAGAUUAAUACCCGAUAGCAUAAUGAUUCCGCAUGGUUUCAUUAUUAAAGGAUUCCGGUAAAGGAUGGGGAUGCGUUCCAUUAGGUUGUUGGUGGGGUAACGGCCCACCAAGCCUUCGAUGGAUAGGGGUUCUGAGAGGAAGGUCCCCCACAUUGGAACUGAGACACGGUCCAAACUCCUACGGGAGGCAGCAUG
Molecule: ribosomal RNA, 223 nt
Filed under: uncultured bacterium
Lineage: Bacteria
Description: partial 16S ribosomal RNA
Rfam family: Bacterial small subunit ribosomal RNA
Source: RNAcentral